AUUGAACGCUGGCGGCAGGCCUAACACAUGCAAGUCGAACGAGUGGCGGACGGGUGAGUAAUGUCUGGGAAACUGCCCGAUGGAGGGGGAUAACUACUGGAAACGGUAGCUAAUACCGCAUACCAUCGGAUGUGCCCACAUGGGAUUAGCUAGUAGGUGGGGUAACGGUUCACCUAGGCGACGAUCCCUAGCUGGUCUGAGAGGCUGACCGGCCACACUUGAACUGAGACACGGUCCAAACUCCUACGGGAGGCAGCAGUGGGGAAUAUUGCACAAUGGGCGCAAGCCUGAUGCAGCAAUGCCGCGUGUAUGAAGAAGGUCUUCGGGUUGUAAAGUACUUUCAGCGGGGAGGCGUUAACCGAAGAAGAAGCAACGGCUAACUACGUGCCAGCAGCCGCGGUAAUUC
This 406-nucleotide ribosomal RNA is filed under the name uncultured bacterium. RNAcentral describes it as "partial 16S ribosomal RNA". It matches the Rfam family "Bacterial small subunit ribosomal RNA", at positions 30 to 526 of the family's 1533-position model. The record is from RNAcentral.